Molecule: long non-coding RNA, 889 nt
Filed under: Bos indicus x Bos taurus (hybrid cattle)
Lineage: Eukaryota; Metazoa; Chordata; Mammalia; Artiodactyla; Bovidae
Description: lncRNA (ENSBIXG00005010295.1)
Source: RNAcentral
ACCUAUUGCUCUUCCUCUUCCUUAUUCUGCUUCAUUUGCCUUGGUCUUCUUGCUCUUCUUUCAACAAACCAAAGCAAAUUCUUGCCUAAGAGCCUCUGUCCUGCACAACAACCUCUCCCUUAGUUAUGUGAAUGACUGGCUCACUCUGCUGAAAUUUUCACUCUGAGGGAGCUCUUCCAUCCGUAACUUUGUUUAAAUAAUCAAUUCCAGGCUCUUCACCCUUUUCUAUGCUUUAUUUUUAUCCAUCACACUUAUUCCCCAGCAUUUUACUAGGUAUUUCUUUAUGAUUUCUCUUCCAAUAGGAUAUGAGUCUUUAGGUGGUGAGGAAUUUCUUCUCUCUCACUUCCUGUUUUUCCUGUUAAAUAGAUGACAAUCUUGACAAUUUCAGUGUAACCCGGCAGCUUUUUGGCAUCUCCCUGGGGUGUUUGCUGAGAACUCAGUGCACCCUGACCUUCAGAUCCCUCUGAGUUGGUAAGCAAUCUUCCCUAGCAUUUAUUUAUGCUGAAGGAGGAGAACAAUGAGAAGCAAUUGAGACCCAAGAGAGCCUGUCGUGUGCAAAUGCAGAAGAACCAAGAAAGCUGUAAAAUUGCCUCCCCUCCCAGCCAGCCCUGUUCGGGAGAAUGGAACCUUCCAUUAACCCUGUUUAAGGGACUGACUUUCCACCUCUGGGUACAGCCACCAUGGUCAAGUCCUGCAUCUGGACCUGGGCGGCAGGAUGGGACCUGGGCUGGGGAGAGGAUGAAUUCACGUGCACCGAAUGUCUCAAAGGCAGACGUCUGUGAGCCUGCGCUAGUUAAGGAAAGGAUGAUUUCAAGGCAGCUGGGGGUGACAACAGUGUGAUGAUGUCAAUUCAAAUUGUAAGAUUUUUUGAUUGAAGUCGCUCAGCCAU